RNAcentral lists this ribosomal RNA (1460 nucleotides) under metagenome. RNAcentral's name for it is "bacterial LSU rRNA". It matches the Rfam family "Bacterial large subunit ribosomal RNA", at positions 1474 to 2909 of the family's 2925-position model. The record is from RNAcentral.
UGAGAAGGCUAGGCCAGCUUGGCGUUGGUUGUCCAAGUUUAAGGUGGUAGGCUGAAAUCUUAGGUAAAUCCGGGGUUUCAAGGCCGAGAGCUGAUGACGAGUCGUCUUUUAGAUGACGAAGUGGUUGAUGCCAUGCUUCCAAGAAAAGCUUCUAAGCUUCAGGUAACCAGGAACCGUACCCCAAACCGACACAGGUGGUCGGGUAGAGAAUACCAAGGCGCUUGAGAGAACUCGGGUGAAGGAACUAGGCAAAAUGGCACCGUAACUUCGGGAGAAGGUGCGCCGGCUAGGGUGAAGGAUUUACUCCGUAAGCUCUGGCUGGUCGAAGAUACCAGGCCGCUGCGACUGUUUAUUAAAAACACAGCACUCUGCAAACACGAAAGUGGACGUAUAGGGUGUGACGCCUGCCCGGUGCCGGAAGGUUAAUUGAUGGGGUUAGCGCAAGCGAAGCUCUUGAUCGAAGCCCCGGUAAACGGCGGCCGUAACAAUAACGGUCCUAAGGUAGCGAAAUUCCUUGUCGGGUAAGUUCCGACCUGCACGGAUGGCGUAACGAUGGCGGCGCUGUCUCCACCCGAGACUCAGUGAAAUUGAAAUCGCUGUGAAGAUGCAGUGUAUCCGCGGCUAGACGGAAAGACCCCGUGAACCUUUACUGUAGCUUUGCACUGGACUUUGAGCCUGCUUGUGUAGGAUAGGUGGGAGGCUUUGAAGCGUGGACGCCAGUUCGCGUGGAGCCAUCCUUGAAAUACCACCCUGGCAUGCUUGAGGUUCUAACUCUGGUCCGUAAUCCGGAUCGAGGACAGUGUAUGGUGGGCAGUUUGACUGGGGCGGUCUCCUCCUAAAGAGUAACGGAGGAGUACGAAGGUGCGCUCAGACCGGUCGGAAAUCGGUCGCAGAGUAUAAAGGCAAAAGCGCGCUUGACUGCGAGACAGACACGUCGAGCAGGUACGAAAGUAGGUCUUAGUGAUCCGGUGGUUCUGUAUGGAAGGGCCAUCGCUCAACGGAUAAAAGGUACUCCGGGGAUAACAGGCUGAUACCGCCCAAGAGUUCAUAUCGACGGCGGUGUUUGGCACCUCGAUGUCGGCUCAUCACAUCCUGGGGCUGAAGCCGGUCCCAAGGGUAUGGCUGUUCGCCAUUUAAAGUGGUACGCGAGCUGGGUUUAGAACGUCGUGAGACAGUUCGGUCCCUAUCUGCCGUGGACGUUUGAGAUUUGAGAGGGGCUGCUCCUAGUACGAGAGGACCGGAGUGGACGAACCUCUGGUGUUCCGGUUGUCACGCCAGUGGCAUUGCCGGGUAGCUAUGUUCGGAAAAGAUAACCGCUGAAAGCAUCUAAGCGGGAAACUUGCCUCAAGAUGAGAUCUCACUGGGAACUUGAUUCCCCUGAAGGGCCGUCGAAGACUACGACGUUGAUAGGCUGGGUGUGUAAGCGUUGUGAGGCGUUGAGCUAACCAGUACUAAUUGCC